Non-coding RNA from Osmia lignaria (orchard mason bee), 2181 nucleotides. NCBI's taxonomy places the organism in Eukaryota, Metazoa, Arthropoda, Insecta, Hymenoptera, Megachilidae. The record is from RefSeq and is a predicted model, not a curated record.
AAAUACCCACACAUACAUACGCACCCGUCCACUUUCGUAACGUGUGACAUUGAUACAGCCUCGGUCCGUAACACACCCAUUUACUUCUUCGUUACGUUAAUGGGACGGAAACACGGAAACAAUUUAAAAAUUCAGAUGUCUUUUAACCGCGACUAUCCCCCGAUUGCAUCAGAAACGUGUUCGCUGACGCUGGAAUCGAGCUUGUUGCCUGCUUUGCAAUCGAACGCCGCGGACACACGGUUUAUGAAGUUUGCAGCAAGGACGCCAGCGAUGCUUGCCGCGUUACUUGUCGUUCUAAUAUCUGAAUAACUAAAUAUUCAUGGUGUCUUUCGAUCGAAACAUUGAGUUAUAGCCUGGUUGAAGUGUGAACCGAGAGUGUUGGAGCCGGACCGACUUGCUGUUGUUAUUGUUAUUCCGUAUCAAUAGAUUAUGUUGCGGUGAUCAACGCAUACAUUACGAUUCGAACAUGAAUUUUAAACACUCAAAUUAUUAUUGUUUUGAAAGUCGUAUCGUAGGUUACGAGUUAUUAUCCAAGUGUACUGAAAACAAGAUAGAUACCUACAGUUGCAACGAAGAUCAUCGCCACAUUCGUCACUUACGACGCCUACGAGCUGUAAUACGCGCCGCGAGUAUGCGUUCCCGCGAAGGUAGACAGUUUUCUCAGAAAUUCUGUGGCAACUCUUGGAAUCGUGAUCCAACGUGUAGAGUGUAGACGAUUAAAGUGUUAUCGAUAUAAGCAAACCGAGACAACUUCCUAAGAUAUCGUUUUCCUUUUAGAUGAAAUGAUUUUAGGGUAAUUAUUUAGAAGUUGGUCCUCCUCACCGAUUUUCGUGACCUUGAAAUAUGUUGUCAAGGUCAUCAUUCUGAACAACUUUUCCCUGUACAUGUUACCGCCGCUCGGCCUUAGUUUCCGAGAUAUUCGUAAAAAAAGAUUGAAAGAGUGAUUGAAGUGGUUUGAGGUUAGGGUUAGGGUUAGGUUUAGGUUAGGUUUAGGUUAGGUUUAGGUUUACUGCGUACAUGGCGUGAUACGAGAGCUAAUAUUCCUCGUUAUGGAACUCGUACGUCUCAUUACGUGGAAUAUAUAGCCGAGUUUUUAUUCCGACGUCAACAUGAUGUUAAUGAGCGUAUAAUGGCAUUUUUUGACAUAAUGGGCGAAAUGUUUCCGAUUUCUGACAAAACACAAAAUGAAUAAUAGGUAUACAAUAUAUAAAAAAUGAAAGAAAGAGUAAUUAUAACGUGAAAAAAUCAAAAACAACACCCUAACCCUAACCCUAACCUCAAACCACUUCAAUCACUUUUCAAUCACCAUUCAGUCUCCAUUUUUCCCGGAAUACAGUGUACUCGUAAUCUAAGUUUAACUAUAGAUUUUUGCAAAUAUCUCGGAAACUAAGGCCGAGCGCCGGUAACAUGUAUAGGAAAAAGUUGUUCAGAAUGAUGACCUUGACAACAUAUUUCAAGGUCACGAAAAUCGGUGAGGAGAGCAAACUUCUAACUAAUUACCAAAGAUUUUUGCAAAUAUCUCGGAAACUCAGGCCGAGCAGCGGUACAAUGUAUAGGGAAAAGUUGUUCAGAAUGAUGACCUUGACAACAUAUUUCAAGGUCACGAAAAUCGGUGAGCAGGACCAACUUCUAAAUAAUUACCGAUUUUAGAUUUAGAUGGAAUAAUGGAAACGCUUGUUUUUUUUAUUAACACGUUAAAUUCGACGUCAAAUAGCAGUAAAAAUAAAUCCGUUGUCUUCUCUCUCUUUUUUUUUUUUUUUUUAAUUAUUCAUGCGAUUGUACAAAAUUGCAGAUGUCGAUUAUCGGUGACCCUCGUCGUGGCAGUCAGUGCGUUUAAUUUAUAUUGCCCGACCGACGUGCUCGCGCAGAUUUUUAAUUCAAACUUUUUUUUCUCGACAAGAUACACUCUCACGAACAGAACAAGACGUCGUUGUUGUGUGGUCGUAAAAAUAAAUUUCUUUCUCCUACCUCUGCUUGGUACCAGUCUCUCCUACAACUCCCACCAUCUUCUUUUCUUUUCACUUCUCCUCUUCAUCCUUCGCCUUCUUUCCUCUCUUUCCCACUCCUCCGCACAUGUCUAUAUCUUAGUUUCUUCUUAUAAUGCAUGCGUACUUACACGCCUUUGAUUGUACAAGUGUCCUACGAUGGAUCGACGAUGAGGUUCGACUUGCUUUUAAACUA